RNAcentral lists this unclassified non-coding RNA (4260 nucleotides) under Hevea brasiliensis (rubber tree). The record is from RNAcentral. Lineage: Eukaryota; Viridiplantae; Streptophyta; Magnoliopsida; Malpighiales; Euphorbiaceae.
GGAUAAAGCUCAAAAACCCCAGCAAGCAAAAACAGAGUCUGAAACCCUACUUUCACUUAAAAACCUUCUACGGCAUGUUCUUGUUGUAGCGGGUGGGAGACUGUAGAACAAACACACCCGAAAAUGAACCUUGCAGUCCCUCACAAACCGAAUCCACUUCUCUAUCCUUCAACACUACUGGUCCAAACUAGUCAAAAUCCUAUUUUUUUACAGUUUACCCCGAGGUGCAAACCCAGAGUUUCCCGACAAAAACCCAUUUUUAGAAUCUAUUCCUCUGCUAAUCCAAAUGGCUCUGAUGGGUUGUCUUGGCCUAGUCUGACUCGGGCUUUUCGGCUCGGCUCGGAGCGAUUUUUGCUCAAACUUCGCGAGUCAGUGAACAGGGAAACUGGGUUUAAUAUGGACUGGGUUAAUGUGAAGAUGGGUGAAUUUUUGGAGCUUGCUAAGGAUCGGGCCAAGAAGGGUGAGGCAGAGUUGAAUCGCUUUAGGACCGAGUUGUUGCCCGAGUUUGGUAAUUGGAAUAGGUGGGAGCGUUGGAAGGAUAUAAAGAAUUGGGAGCCUAAACGAGUUGGUGUAUUGGUUCUCUAUGUUUUUUUUAUGAUUUUUUCUUGUCAAAGAAUGUAUAUUGCUAUUCGAGCUCCUUACUUGGAUCGAGAAAGAAGAGAAUUGACAGAGGCUUAUAUGGAGGCAUUGAUUCCUGAGCCAUCUCCUAUAAAUAUUAGAAGGUUUAAGAAGGGUAUGUGGAGGAAGUUAACACCUAAAGGUUUGAAAUUGAAGAAGUUUGUUGAAGGGCCUGAUGGAACACUGGUUCAAGAUACUGCCUAUGUUGGAGAAGAUGCAUGGGAUGAUGAUCCACUGCCGCCUCAGGAGAGUGUGAAGCAGGUUAUUGACGAGAAUGUGAGAUUAAAUCCAGAAGAAAAGAAAGAAUUGAAAGAAGAUUUGGGCAUUUCAGGUGCAACUCAAGAAAGUAAAGGAACUUGGCGUGAAAGGCUUCAAACAUGGAAAGAAAUACUAAGAAAUGAUAAGUUAGCUGAGGAAUUAGAUGCUUCAAAUGCCAAAUAUGUUGUUGAAUUUGACAUGAAAGAGGUUGAAAAUAGUCUUCGUAAGGAUUUGGUGGAAAAGGUCAGAGACACACAAGGAGCUAGGGCCUUGUGGAUAUCUAAGAGAUGGUGGCGUUAUCGUCCCAAACUUCCAUAUACUUAUUUUCUUCAAAAGCUUGAUUGCUCUGAGGUUGCUGCUGUUGUUUUCACAGAGGACCUAAAAAGACUAUAUGUAACUAUGAAAGAAGGUUUUCCAUUAGAAUAUGUUGUUGACAUUCCCCUUGAUCCACACUUGUUCGAGAUAAUUUCAAGUUCUGGAGUUGAAGUAGAUCUCCUUCAGAAGCGACAAAUCCAUUAUUUUUUGAAAGUUGUGACUGCAUUGUUGCCUGGAUUACUUAUACUGUGGCUUAUAAGGGAGUCUGUUAUGUUAUUACACAUCACUUCUAAUCGUUUUCUUUACAAGAAGUAUAAUCAACUUUUUGACAUGGCAUAUGCGGAAAAUUUUAUCCUGCCAGUUGGAGAUUUUGGUGAAACAAAAUCAAUGUAUAAGGAAGUGAUACUUGGAGGCGAUGUCUGGGAUCUUCUUGAUGAAAUAAUGAUCUAUAUGGGCAAUCCCAUGCAAUACUAUGAAAAAGGGGUUAAGUUUGUUCGGGGUGUUCUUCUCUCUGGACCUCCUGGAACAGGGAAGACACUUUUUGCUCGGACACUUGCAAAGGAAAGUGGAUUGCCUUUUGUUUUUGCUUCUGGUGCGGAGUUUACAGAUAGUGAAAAAAGCGGUGCAGCAAGGAUCAAUGAGAUGUUUUCCAUUGCUAGAAGAAAUGCUCCUUCUUUUGUUUUUGUGGAUGAAAUUGAUGCCAUUGCUGGAAGACAUGCAAGGAAGGACCCACGAAGACGGGCAACAUUUGAGGCUCUGAUUGCGCAGCUUGAUGGGGAGAAGGAAAAAACAGGUGUAGAUCGGUUUUCACUUAGACAAGCUGUGAUAUUCAUUUGUGCCACCAAUAGGCCGGAUGAAUUGGACCUGGAAUUUGUUCGUCCUGGACGCAUUGAUCGUCGAUUGUACAUUGGCUUGCCUGAUGCAAAGCAAAGAGUUCAAAUUUUUGGUGUUCAUAGUGCAGGAAAGCAACUUGCGGAUGAUGUAGAUUUUGGAAAGCUUGUCUUCCGUACUGUUGGCUUCUCUGGAGCAGAUAUUAGGAAUCUUGUCAAUGAAGCUGCAAUCAUGGCUGUAAGGAAAGGACAUUCCAGGAUCUACCAGGAAGACAUUGUUGAUGUUUUAGAUAAACAAUUGCUCGAGGGCAUGGGUGUACUUCUUACAGAAGAAGAACAGCAGAAAUGUGAAGAAAGUGUGUCUUUUGAAAAGAAGAGACUUCUGGCUGUACAUGAAGCUGGUCACAUAUUAUUAUCUCACUUGUUUCCACACUUUGAUUGGCAUGCAUUUUCUCAGCUCCUGCCUGGGGGCAAGGAAACUGCAAUAUCUGUUUUCUAUCCCAGAGAAGAUAUGAUAGACCAAGGCUAUACAACCUUUGGCUACAUGAAGAUGCAAAUGGUGGUAGCUCAUGGUGGACGUUGUGCUGAACAUCUUGUAUUUGGUGAUGACGUUACUGAUGGAGGCAGUGACGACCUUGAAAAGAUAACAAAGAUUGCUAGGGAGAUGGUAAUCAGCCCUCAAAAUGCAAGGUUGGGCCUUACUGCUCUAACAAAAAGAGUUGGACUCAGAGAUCGACCUGACAGCCCAGAAAGCGGGUUGAUAAAGUAUAAGUGGGAUGAUCCUCAUGUGAUUCCUGCGAACAUGACACUUGAAGUAUCCGAGCUAUUUACCCGAGAGUUGACAAGGUAUAUCAAAGAGACAGAAGAUCUUGCAAUGAGAGGACUGAGGGACAAUAUACACAUACUGGAUGUGAUUACAAAGGCGCUGUUGGAGAAGUCAAGAAUAACUGGAUUGGUAUAUCGAUUUAUAUAAUUCUUGUCAUGGAUUCUCAACAAAUAUUUGCUGUUUAAUAAAAUAUAAUUUUCAUGACUCUUUGGUUUCUCCACCCAUAUUAAGUAUUUUCAACAUUACCUUCAUCAAAACUGCCUUGUGGAUGGUUUCGUUAGUUAUGAAGUAUUUUUUGUUCUUCUUAAUUUUCUUUGGUAGUCAGCUGUCAGAAUAAUUUUCCUCUAUAAAUCUGCUGGUUUAGGCGUCAAAAUGGUCAUUGUCCUAUCCUAUAAAUUAUUAUAAUGGUCAGAUGUAACUGCUAAAUUUUAUGUCAUGAUUUGAUCUCAACUGCUUCCAGGAAGUUGAGGAGAUAAUGAAGGGGCUUUCUCCAAUGAUGUUUGAAGAUUUUGUAAAGCCAUUCCAGAUAGACUUGAAAGAGGAGGGACCAUUGUCUCAUAAUGACAAGUUGCGAUAUCAACCUUUAGAUGUAUAUCCUGCCCCACUCCAUCGAUGUUGAUGAAUUUGUGAUAAGAACCUUUGGAUAUAUUUUCAUCACCAGUCCAUCAAUGUUGAAGGUCCUAGGAAUUGGAUGCUAUAAUCUUAAUCCUUUGCAUGCAAAUUUUGCACCAAGAUUUCCGAAAAGAUAUUUAGGAACUGGAAAAUAGGAAGCCAUGCAACACAGUCUUCUUGCCAGAGUCCAUUUGCCUUUCGAAAAAUGAUUUCCAUGCAAGGAAGUUUGUAGCCAGGCUAUACUCAGUUUGUUAAAGGCAACAGUGCUUCAUUGGGGUUUGCCUCGAGUACUUCGACCUUGGGAAGGAAAUCUCGCUUCAACAAGCAUGGCUUUGAAUCCUGAUAUGGAAUCCAACAGCAUGCCUUUUGCCAGUUUUGUCCCAACAAUGACAAUUUUGUUCUUUGUUGAUUGAUAUUGCGGGAAUAUGGUAAUGUUCUCAAAUGUUUGCUGUCUAUUGUAGCAUGAAUGUAUAAAAUCAAAUCUGUACAACAGUUUCAUGUGCUGAAAUAGAAGGGAUAGAUUUCCUAAAAAUAUUAGAGGUUCUCUUUAAAUUUUAACAGCUUGAUUACAGUACUCGAACAUGGUCCAUUGAUCGAGUAUCACCUUCAACAAAAUGUAGGGUUUUCUGUUAGCACCACUUAGUCAAUUUGUUGCUGUUUAGUCUCCUAUUAUUUCUCUUAGUUUGUUGAGUCAAAGCACUUACAGUUAGUGCCAUAUUUCUCUGAUUUUAUUGUUAUCUUGUGGCUAUAUAAGAGUCAUUGUUUUGUUUAUUUGAAUACAUAUUUAACAGUGCUCUUUCU